AUACGGAGGGUGCAAGCGUUAUCCGGAAUCAUUGGGUUUAAAGGGUCCGCAGGCGGAUUAAUAAGUCAGUGGUGAAAUCCUCUCGCUCAACGAGAGAACUGCCAUUGAAACUGUUAGUCUUGAAUUCGGUCGAAGUAGGCGGAAUGUGUCAUGUAGCGGUGAAAUGCAUAGAUAUGACACAGAACACCGAUAGCGAAGGCAGCUUACUAGACCUGGAUUGACGCUCAUGGACGAAAGCGUGGGGAGCGAACAGGAUUAGAUACCCGGGUAGUCC
Molecule: ribosomal RNA, 274 nt
Filed under: uncultured bacterium
Lineage: Bacteria
Description: partial 16S ribosomal RNA
Rfam family: Bacterial small subunit ribosomal RNA
Source: RNAcentral